GACGAACGCUGGCGGCGUGCUUAACACAUGCAAGUCGAACGGAAAGGCCCUGCUUUUGUGGGGUGCUCGAGUGGCGAACGGGUGAGUAACACGUGAGUAACCUGCCAUUGACUUUGGGAUAACUUCAGGAAACUGGGGCCAAUACCGGAUAGGAGCUCCUGCUGCAUGGUGGGGGUUGGAAAGUUUCGGCGGUUGGGGAUGGACUCGCGGCUUAUCAGCUUGUUGGUGGGGUAGUGGCUUACCAAGGCUUUGACGGGUAGCCGGCCUGAGAGGGUGACCGGCCACAUUGGGACUGAGAUACGGCCCAGACUCCUACGGGAGGCAGCAGUGGGGAAUAUUGCACAAUGGGCGGAAGCCUGAUGCAGCAACGCCGCGUGCGGGAUGACGGCCUUCGGGUUGUAAACCGCUUUCGCCUGUGACGAAGCGUGAGUGACGGUAAUGGGUAAAGAAGCACCGGCUAACUACGUG
Molecule: ribosomal RNA, 468 nt
Filed under: uncultured bacterium
Lineage: Bacteria
Description: partial 16S ribosomal RNA
Rfam family: Bacterial small subunit ribosomal RNA
Source: RNAcentral